GAUGAACGCUAGCGAUAGGCCUAACACAUGCAAGUCGAGGGGCAUCACAUGAAGUAGCAAUACGGAUGGUGGCGACCGGCGCACGGGUGAGUAACACGUAUGCAACCUGCCUUCAACAAGGGGAUAACCCGUUGAAAGACGGACUAAUACCCUAUAACACAGGGGUCCCGCAUGGGAAUAUUUGUUAAAGGACAACCGGUUGAAGAUGGGCAUGCGUUCCAUUAGCUAGUUGGCGGGUAAGGCCCACCAAGGCAACGAUGGAUAGGGGAACUGAGAGGUUUAUCCCCCACACUGGUACUGAGACACGGACCAGACUCCUACGGGAGGCAGCAGUGAGGAAUAUUGGUCAAUGGACGCAAGUCUGAACCAGCCACGUCGCGUGAAGGAAGACGGCCCUACGGGUUGUAAACUUCUUUUGCAAGGGAAUAAAGUGGGCCACGUGUGGCCUUUUGCAAGUACCUUGCGAAUAAGGAUCGGCUAACUCCGUGCCAGCAGCCGCG
RNAcentral lists this ribosomal RNA (500 nucleotides) under uncultured bacterium. RNAcentral describes it as "bacterial SSU rRNA". It matches the Rfam family "Bacterial small subunit ribosomal RNA", at positions 28 to 519 of the family's 1533-position model. The record is from RNAcentral.